This is a non-coding RNA of Pelobates cultripes (western spadefoot toad), 405 nucleotides long. Lineage: Eukaryota; Metazoa; Chordata; Amphibia; Anura; Pelobatidae. The record is from the annotation of a GenBank genome assembly.
CCUCCCCUUCCACAUGUCAAUUCCCUUACCACAAUGUCACCCCCAUCCACACACUCUAACCCCAGACACCCCCCCUCUACACACACAGUCACCACCUUCACAUACACACUGUCAUCCCCUCCAUGCACUGUAACCCUCCUUAACCCCCCUAAUCCUGUCACACUCACCUUUUCUCACACUAUCACACUCAUCGGCUAUCACCCAAUCACACUCACUGUCACAUUAAGCCCUCCAAUCAUGUUACACACAUCCUGCACCUGCCAUGCCACACUGACCCUGUGAAAUAACCCCCUAAUCCUGUCACUCUGUCAUGCUCACCUCCCCUCAUCCUGUAACACUCUCUCCUCCAACUGAGCCACACUCAUCCCCAAGCCCAGUCAAUCCCCCAACCCUGCCACACUCACC